UUAAUGGCGAUGAAGGGGAAGAGUACCUUAUUAGCCGGUUGACAGAGAGCCGCUGGCUGGUGGAAAGCGGUAACCGCCAUAGGGGAACUGGCCCCGGAGCUGGAAAGGCGAACCCGCUGGCAGUAGUCUUUCCCGGCCGCCGCCGUUACCGGCAGCAAGGGGAUCGGGCUUUUUGAGUCCGGUCAAUUUGGGUGGUACCGCGGAAGCAAGGCCUUUCGUCCCAAGG
The sequence is a non-coding RNA, 226 nucleotides long. It matches the Rfam family "T-box leader". From Rfam's summary of the family: Uncharged tRNA acts as the effector for transcription antitermination of genes in the T-box leader family. T-boxes are found upstream of many aminoacyl-tRNA synthetase genes and some amino acid biosynthetic genes usually in Gram-positive bacteria.